UGCAAUGAUGAUAGAACACUUGUUUUACUUUAUAUUUCUGGUACCUCUUAUGUUAGAGCCCUCGGGCUCGAUGAAUGAACUGGACUUCUGACC
Molecule: small nucleolar RNA, 93 nt
Filed under: Tolypocladium ophioglossoides CBS 100239
Lineage: Eukaryota; Fungi; Ascomycota; Sordariomycetes; Hypocreales; Ophiocordycipitaceae
Description: A. fumigatus snoRNA Afu_264
Rfam family: A. fumigatus snoRNA Afu_264
Source: Rfam by way of RNAcentral